Molecule: ribosomal RNA, 1833 nt
Filed under: Salmonella enterica subsp. enterica serovar Enteritidis
Lineage: Bacteria; Pseudomonadati; Pseudomonadota; Gammaproteobacteria; Enterobacterales; Enterobacteriaceae
Description: partial 23S ribosomal RNA
Rfam family: Bacterial large subunit ribosomal RNA
Source: RNAcentral
GACGUACUAGACUGCGAUAAGCUAUGCGGAGCUGUCAAGGAGCUUUGAUGCGUAGAUGUCCGAAUGGGGCAACCCAACUAAUAGAGAUAUUAGUUACUCUAAUUAUAGAGAGCGAACCUAGUGAAGUGAAACAUCUCAGUAACUAGAGGAAAAGAAAUCAACGAGAUUCCCUAAGUAGUGGCGAGCGAACGGGGAAAAGGGCAAACCGAGUGCUUGCAUUCGGGGUUGAGGACUGCAAUAUCCAAGAGAACGCUUUAGCAGAGUUACCUGGAAAGGUAAGCCAUAGAAAGUGAUAGCCUUGUAUGCGACAAGGCGUUUUUAGGUAGCAGGAUCCAGAGUAGGCCAGGACACGAGGAAUCCAGGUUGAAGCCGGGGAGACCACUCUCCAACCCUAAAUACUACUCUUUGAGCGAUAGCGAACAAGUACCGUGAGGGAAAGGUGAAAAGAACCGCAGUGAGCGGAGUGAAAUAGAACCUGAAACCAUCUGCUUACAAUCAUUCAGAGCCCUAUGAUUUAUCAGGGUGAUGGACUGCCUUUUGCAUAAUGAUCCUGCGAGUUGUGGUAUCUGGCAAGGUUAAGCGAAUGCGAAGCCGUAGCGAAAGCGAGUCUUAAUAGGGCGAUUAAGUCAGAUGCUGCAGACCCGAAGCUAAGUGAUCUAUCCAUGGCCAAGUUGAAACGCGUGUAAUAGCGCGUGGAGGACUGAACUCGUACCCAUUGAAACGGGUUGGGAUGAGCUGUGGAUAGGGGUGAAAGGCCAAACAAACUUAGUGAUAGCUGGUUCUCUUCGAAAUAUAUUUAGGUAUAGCCUCAAGUGAUAAUAAAAGGGGGUAGAGCCCUGAUUGGGCUAGGGCUGCUCGCCGCGGUACCAAACCCUAUCAAACUUCGAAUACCUUUUAUCGUAUCUUGGGAGUCAGGCGGUGGGUGAUAAAAUCAAUCGUCAAAAGGGGAACAACCCAGACUACCAAAUAAGGUCCCUAAGUUCUAUUCUGAGUGGAAAAAGAUGUGUGGCUACUCAAACAACCAGGAGGUUGGCUUAGAAGCAGCCAUCCUUUAAAGAAAGCGUAACAGCUCACUGGUCUAGUGGUCAUGCGCUGAAAAUAUAACGGGGCUAAGAUAGACACCGAAUUUGUAGAUUGUGUUUGACACAGUGGUAGAAGAGCGUUCAUACCAGCGUUGAAGGUAUACCGGUAAGGAGUGCUGGAGCGGUAUGAAGUGAGCAUGCAGGAAUGAGUAACGAUAAGAUAUAUGAGAAUUGUAUCCGCCGUAAAUCUAAGGUUUCCUACGCGAUGGUCGUCAUCGUAGGGUUAGUCGGGUCCUAAGCCGAGUCCGAAAGGGGUAGGUGAUGGCAAAUUGGUUAAUAUUCCAAUACCGACUAUGGAGCGUGAUGGGGGGACGCAUAGGGUUAAGCGAGCUAGCUGAUGGAAUAGCUAGUCUAAGGGCGUAGAUUGGAGGGAAGGCAAAUCCACCUCUGUAUUUGAAACCCAAACAGGCUCUUUGAGUCCUUUCAGGACAAAGGGAGAAUCGCUGAUACCGUCGUGCCAAGAAAAGCCUCUAAGCAUAUCCAUAGUCGUCCGUACCGCAAACCGACACAGGUAGAUGAGAUGAGUAUUCUAAGGCGCGUGAAAGAACUCUGGUUAAGGAACUCUGCAAACUAGCACCGUAAGUUCGCGAUAAGGUGUGCCACAGCGAUGUGGUCUCAGCAAAGAGUCCCUCCCGACUGUUUACCAAAAACACAGCACUUUGCCAACUCGUAAGAGGAAGUAUAAGGUGUGACGCCUGCCCGGUGCUCGAAGGUUAAGAGGAUGCGUCAGUCGCAAGAUGAAGCGUUGAAU